RNAcentral lists this ribosomal RNA (253 nucleotides) under uncultured bacterium. RNAcentral's name for it is "partial 16S ribosomal RNA". It matches the Rfam family "Bacterial small subunit ribosomal RNA", at positions 524 to 776 of the family's 1533-position model. The record is from RNAcentral.
UACAGAGGGGGCAAGCGUUGUUCGGAAUUACUGGGCGUAAAGGGCGCGUAGGCGGCCUUCUAAGUCAGACGUGAAAUCCCUCGGCUCAACCGGGGAACUGCGUCUGAGACUGGAAGGCUUGAAUCCGGGAGAGGGAUGUGGAAUUCCAGGUGUAGCGGUGAAAUGCGUAGAUAUCUGGAGGAACACCGGUGGCGAAGGCGGCAUCCUGGGCCGGUAUUGACGCUGAGGCGCGAAAGCCAGGGGAGCAAACGGG